UAGAUUGAGCCUCAUGGUUCUCAUAACAUCCAUCCAACACACAUGUGAACCGUUUGACCCCUGGGUCUAUCACAAACAUCAGUGUAAAGAACGUCUUGUUAUCUUAAACAAAAACA
RNAcentral lists this unclassified non-coding RNA (116 nucleotides) under uncultured Basidiomycota. Its description in RNAcentral is "sequence contains ITS1". Lineage: Eukaryota; Fungi; Basidiomycota. The record is from RNAcentral.